UUCGUACUCAUAAGUUGUUUUUGAUGAUGAGGUUUCCAAAUCGACGAUCCACUCCGUUAAAUAUGAUCUAGAGCAUUUAAAACUUCUAGAAAAUAAAUUUCGUAAUUUUUCGAAAUCAUAAUAAAAUCCAUCAAACGUGCAUAAAAUGAACGGUCGAAAUCGAACGACGUCCUAAAAAUGGAUGAUCGGAUCCUUCAAUUAAAGAUCGGAGUUAUUGAUCUUUAUCUAGAUAGUGAAUAGAAUUUUCUAUAAAAAAUUCAACCUAUUCCAAUUCUUUUACACCGUUAAACUAGCAAGUAUUCCAUACCGGCCGUUAAAAAUUGUCAAUUUUGUGAGCUUUUGAUUGUAAGGUAAAUGAUGUCGAAAAAUUACGAAAUUUGAUUUCUAGAAGUUUUAAAUGCUCUAGAUAAUGUUUAACAGUAUGAAUCAUCGCUUCGGAAGCUAUAUAUAUAUAUAUAUAUAUAGGCUAAUGCUACUAUCCUAUUAAUAGGAUAGGAGCACUUGUCCUAUCAAGUUGUUCUUGAUGAUCGAGAUUCCGAAUCGAUCAUCGGAGUCGUUGAAGUUGAUCUAAAGUAUUUGAAAUAUCUAGAAACUAAAUUUCAUAAAUUUUAAUGAUGGUUUACAUGGUGAUCAAAGUGUCGUAAAAUCGACAAGUUUU
RNAcentral lists this long non-coding RNA (658 nucleotides) under Ananas comosus (pineapple). Its description in RNAcentral is "long non-coding RNA (ACOM_LNC036133)". Lineage: Eukaryota; Viridiplantae; Streptophyta; Magnoliopsida; Poales; Bromeliaceae. The record is from RNAcentral.